AAAGUUCUCCUAUUUCAAUAGUUUGGGAAAAAUGUUGGUUUCAGCACGCUACUUAUAAGUUUUGAUGAAACUUAGAGCAAUUGUGGUGUUAUUGGGAGUUUUUGGUAAAGUAUGUGGUUCGGUGGUGCCUAGCAUGUGUGUCCCUAUGUUUCAUCCCUAGUGUAGAUGGACAUGUAUGCAUAUGAAAGUGAAAGGGGUUUGAAGUUACCUUGUGUGAAGAAAGAACAGAGAUAUGGUGGGACCUUGGUCUUUGUGGAGCCUUGAUCUUGUGGAACUGCUACAUUUUGUUUCUAGUGUGAAUGGGUGUAUAUGCAUAAGGAAAAAGAAUGAAAGAGGCUUGAGGUUACCUUGUGUGAGAAAGAAUAGUGGGAUUGUGGGACCUUUGGUCUUGUGAAACUGCACUUCUUUGGAUUUUUACUUCGGAUGUGUGUGGUGAAAAUUUGUUGAAAGUGAUGGACUGAAAGUGAGAGGUCAAGGCAUGUAUAUAUAUGCCUUGAUUUGGCAAGUGGUCUGUGGCAAAUUAAAUGCUCCAUGUCUAACUCAAUCUAUGAUGAUCUUACAAAAAUAUAUUUUGGAUACUCCUUGUAGUAAUAUUUGAGAGAAGUUUUGUUGGCAUUCAAUAUCAUUCUGAUAUCCCCUGAGCAUUUACUGAGGAAAUGAUUUCCUUCAUUUAAUGUUUGCAAUACUUAAUUCUUUUUGUUGGUCUUCCUCUCUAAAUCCUACGGCUAAUACAGAGGUGAAAUACUGUGCAUGUUUCUCUUUUCCUCAUCAUAUUUACUGACUUGCUUGGAGUAAAUCCUUAUCAAGGAUUCGGACAUGACAUGGAAUUUAAAUAUGGCAAACUUAUAGCGUGACCAUUUGUGGCUCUGGUCAACGAACCAAGCCAACUUGGUUUUGAAGCAUGGCGUUCAACGGCUGUCCGAGACUUACCCGUUUUUCUUCCUCCAGCUUGUAAUAAAUUAUAUUUAGAUAAUUCGUAACGUUAGACUUCAUCAACUUUCCGCGUGGGUACCGUACAUUACAACUUUUAUUUGGAUUAAUAUAUGUAUAUGUAUUUAUUAUUCUCACA
Non-coding RNA from Salvia hispanica, 1069 nucleotides. The record is from RefSeq and is a predicted model, not a curated record. NCBI's taxonomy places the organism in Eukaryota, Viridiplantae, Streptophyta, Magnoliopsida, Lamiales, Lamiaceae.